Long non-coding RNA from Suricata suricatta (meerkat), 679 nucleotides. RefSeq lists it as uncharacterized. NCBI's taxonomy places the organism in Eukaryota, Metazoa, Chordata, Mammalia, Carnivora, Herpestidae. The record is from RefSeq and is a predicted model, not a curated record. The transcript is spliced from 3 exons.
GCUACAGGGAAUUGGAUAUUAGAGUCUUAUUUUAAAAGAAAACACUUUUUCUUCUUCAAGUUCCUUCCUUCUUGUCAAGGUUAAAUAACUUUCUCUUCUGGCAUCUUUGUAGAGCCUUGUGAAGCAAGGCUAAGAACUGGAUGUUUACCAGUAGCAUGGCAGAGUUGGAAGAAUAGGUUUAGGAGACAGACAGACUUCGCUGAAGAUUUUUAAGUUGCUACAAACUCACCUUCUUGGAGCCUCACCCGCCUCAUCUUUACAAUGUGGACAAUGAUACAGAGCUUGCAGAGCCAUUAUGAGGAUUAUACAAGAUCAACUUUGUAAAGCAACCAGACAUUUGCAGAGAAGUGGUGCUGUUCUUGGAAGAAGCUGUAUUACAAGUGAAGAUGAAUCUGCAAAGCAGGAAAAUGAGAACCUCUCCUAAGGGGUCAGAACCCUCUGAUCCAUCUGAGCCAUUGAGUAACAGUUGGUUGAGUUAACAAAAGGAAGUAGGCAUGAUCCAUCAGUACCCACCAUGAAGAGAAUGAAACAUGCCUCAAAGUCGUCCCACCACUUGGUUGCUGAUUUCUCUAUGUCCUCCAGAAUUCAUGAAGAAAUGCUGUGACAUGCCUCCCAUGGGGGACCAUGAACUCAUAACAGAUGACUGUGAUACUUCCCUGGGGAAGGCUGUGGGGAGGUA